AAAAACGGACGCAACUAACUGGCCGACGCUACACCGUGGUCUUUCCGGGUCCUUCCCCGCUUAGACCGUACUCCUGCGGGUCCCGGCCCUGAAGGCGAGCCGGAAAGGACCGUCUACUAAGAGAAGAAAUGCAUAAAAACAGCUGGCAGAAUAGAAGACGUGGGAGAAGGAGCAACCAGCAGAACCCUCGGUUCAGGCAACAGGGUUCUGACGAGAGGCAAGUGCUGCUACCCGGGACCACGCGAGCCCUGUGGCGGCCUCAGGGGUAACUCAGUGACACAGCAGAGCUCACAGGAUUCUGGCCAUGUCGGCGAUGACGAGGCCCCAUCGACCUCAUCCGGCACAGCUGGGAGUUCUUCCGUGCCAGAUCUGCCAGGGUAUUACUUUGACCCUGAAAAGAAACGAUACUUCCGCUUGCUCCCUGGACAUAACAACUGCAACCCCCUCACAAAGGAGGGCAUCCGGCAGAAGGAGAUGGAAAGCAAAAGGCUGCAGCUGCUGGAGGAAGAAGACAAGCAGAAAAAG
Leptonychotes weddellii (Weddell seal) is the source of this 525-nucleotide non-coding RNA. Lineage: Eukaryota; Metazoa; Chordata; Mammalia; Carnivora; Phocidae. The record is from RefSeq and is a predicted model, not a curated record.